AACGAUUACAAUUUGCAUAAUUGUUAUCUACAUUUCGGUGGUAUAAAGCAGUAAGUAAUCACCGCUUAGCCAACAAAAACACACCUAACUUCAAAACAUCAUGCUUAUCUUCAAAAGCAAUGCCUUUACUUUGCAGAUUAUACCUUUUAUCUUUAUAGCACUAUUCCAUGUUCCAAUAAGAACAACUGACGCAAAGUGCAAUGUUUGUCAAGAAAAUGGAGCUGCUUGCCUUAAUUCGACAUCGUUUUACAUGUGUCACGGAAGUAUACGAUGUUCUUUGUUUAUUUUAAAAAUACGGUGGUAUCAUAAUCUGUCUUCUUCUAGAUCCGGUUCCUUUUUAUAAUAAAAUUUAUCACUGCCCAAAAGGUUUUGAUUGUUCGAACUUAAAUGCAAUUUGUGUUCAAAGUUUAGCCUCAAGACCAGCGAGUUGUGGUGAUACCAGUCUUUGUGGACUUUGUAGUGCUCACAAGAACCAUUUAUUUGCUUGUACUAGCCGCCGUACAUUUCAGAUGUGUUAUGGAGCAUCACAGAGUAAAAGUGUUCUCGGAUAUUGUCCUGAUGGAUAUAUUUGCAAUGCGAACUCGAAUGCAAUAUGUAUUCCAUUCCUUGAGACUGAAGAUGUAACUUGUGAUCUUUUGAAUCCCAUUGAAAACAAUGAUUAUUCAGGAGACACAUCAACAAGUUCAAGUGAUCCGGUUGAUUCAUCUUCAAGGCCGUCAAUAUUACCAACUUUUCUCACCGCUCAGGAGAUAUGUGAUGUUGAACAGAAAGUUGGUGUUUUUCAAAUUCCAGGGGAUAUGCAAUGUUUACAGUACGCAAGGUGCUACAUUCAAAAGGGAAGAAUUUUCGGAAGUUUAGCAAACUGCCCCAGUGGAACUUAUUUUAGCAGUAAAUCCUUGCAGUGUGUUCUGUCAAAACCAUCUUAUUGUUUGUAAUUAUAAGAAACAAAAAUAUCUGAAAAUAAACAUUUAAAAAUAUAC
Long non-coding RNA from Eupeodes corollae, 980 nucleotides. RefSeq lists it as uncharacterized. NCBI's taxonomy places the organism in Eukaryota, Metazoa, Arthropoda, Insecta, Diptera, Syrphidae. The transcript is spliced from 3 exons. The record is from RefSeq and is a predicted model, not a curated record.